Molecule: ribosomal RNA, 403 nt
Filed under: Klebsiella pneumoniae
Lineage: Bacteria; Pseudomonadati; Pseudomonadota; Gammaproteobacteria; Enterobacterales; Enterobacteriaceae
Description: SSU rRNA
Rfam family: Bacterial small subunit ribosomal RNA
Source: RNAcentral
CCCUGGUAGUCCACGCCGUAAACGAUGUCGAUUUGGAGGUUGUGCCCUUGAGGCGUGGCUUCCGGAGCUAACGCGUUAAAUCGACCGCCUGGGGAGUACGGCCGCAAGGUUAAAACUCAAAUGAAUUGACGGGGGCCCGCACAAGCGGUGGAGCAUGUGGUUUAAUUCGAUGCAACGCGAAGAACCUUACCUGGUCUUGACAUCCACAGAACUUAGCAGAGAUGCUUUGGUGCCUUCGGGAACUGUGAGACAGGUGCUGCAUGGCUGUCGUCAGCUCGUGUUGUGAAAUGUUGGGUUAAGUCCCGCAACGAGCGCAACCCUUAUCCUUUGUUGCCAGCGGUCCGGCCGGGAACUCAAAGGAGACUGCCAGUGAUAAACUGGAGGAAGGGGAUGACGUCAAGUC